Molecule: ribosomal RNA, 458 nt
Filed under: uncultured bacterium
Lineage: Bacteria
Description: partial 16S ribosomal RNA
Rfam family: Bacterial small subunit ribosomal RNA
Source: RNAcentral
CCUACGGGGGGCAGCAGUGAGGAAUAUUGGUCAAUGGGCGAGAGCCUGAACCAGCCAAGUCGCGUGAGGGAGUACUGCCCUAUGGGUUGUAAACCUCUUUUGUCGGGGAGCAAAAGCCGGACGUGUCCGGCUGUUAGAGUACCCGAAGAAAAAGCAUCGGCUAACUCCGUGCCAGCAGCCGCGGUAAUACGGAGGAUGCGAGCGUUAUCCGGAUUUAUUGGGUUUAAAGGGUGCGCAGGCGGAUUUUUAAGUCAGCGGUCAAAUCGUGGGGCUCAACCCCAUCCAGCCGUUGAAACUGUAUGUCUUGAGUGCGGGAGAGGCAAUCGGAAUUCCGUGUGUAGCGGUGAAAUGCGUAGAUAUACGGAGGAACACCAGUGGCGAAGGCGGAUUGCUGGACAGUAACUGACGCUGAGGCGCGAAAGCGUGGGGAGCAAACAGGAUUAGAUACCCGAGUAGUC